RNAcentral lists this ribosomal RNA (492 nucleotides) under uncultured bacterium. RNAcentral's name for it is "partial 16S ribosomal RNA". It matches the Rfam family "Bacterial small subunit ribosomal RNA", at positions 29 to 507 of the family's 1533-position model. The record is from RNAcentral.
AGUGAACGCUGGCGGUAGGCCUAACACAUGCCAGUCGAACGGCAGCACAGUAAGAGCUUGCUCUUACGGGUGGCGAGUGGCGGACGGGUGAGGAAGACAUCGGAAUCUACUUUUUCGUGGGGGAUAACGUAGGGAAACUUACGCUAAUACCGCAUACGACCUACGGGUGAAAGCAGGGGAUCUUCGGACCUUGCGCGAUUGAAUGAGCCGAUGUCGGAUUAGCUAGUUGGCGGGGUAAAGGCCCACCAAGGCGACGAUCCGUAGCUGGUCUGAGAGGAUGAUCAGCCACACUGGAACUGAGACACGGUCCAGACUCCUACGGGAGGCAGCAGUGGGGAAUAUUGGACAAUGGGCGCAAGCCUGAUCCAGCCAUACCGCGUGGGUGAAGAAGGCCUUCGGGUUGUAAAGCCCUUUUGUUGGGAAAGAAAAGCAGCAGGUUAAUACCCCGCUGUUCUGACGGUACCCAAAGAAUAAGCACCGGCUAACUUCGUG